This 528-nucleotide ribosomal RNA is filed under the name uncultured soil bacterium. RNAcentral's name for it is "bacterial SSU rRNA". It matches the Rfam family "Bacterial small subunit ribosomal RNA", at positions 26 to 515 of the family's 1533-position model. The record is from RNAcentral.
AGAAUCAACGCUGGCGGCGUGCCUAACACAUGCAAGUCGAACGCGAAAGGGGCGCAAGCCCUGAGUAGAGUGGCAAACGGGUGAGUAACACGUGGGUGACCUGCCUUCGAGUGGGGGAUAACGUUCCGAAAGGAACGCUAAUACCGCAUGACAUCCUGCGUUUGGAGACGCGGACAUCAAAGCUGGGGAUCGCAAGACCUGGCGCUCGGCGAGGGGCCCGCGGCUGAUUAGCUAGUUGGUGGGGUAAUGGCUCACCAAGGCGACGAUCAGUAUCCGGCCUGAGAGGGCGGACGGACACGACUGGGAACUGAGACACGGCCCAGACUCCUACGGGAGGCAGCAGUGGGGAAUUGUCGCAAUGGGGCGCAAGCCUAGACGACGCAACGCCGCGGUGGAGGACGAAGAUCGUUCGGGUACGUAAACUCCUUGCCGAGCGGGAAGAAGUGGGUGGACGGUGAAACUACCCGUGUCCGCCGGUAGACCGGUACCGACUAAAGGAACGCCCCGGAUAACCGUCCGUAGCCCAGC